GGGACACGCCGUCAUGGCCUGGCGAAGUGCAGCAAGUGUCGGCGUGAUGACGGUGUCAUGACGGUGUCGCUGUGCGGGGGAAGACGACAUCUUAGUGAGUUGACCAACGUCUGACAGAGUGGGCGGAGCUUGUCCAGCGCGGCAUUCCAUUCGUCUUUGUCAUGGUCCCCCAGGUUUUCCCUGAGGUCGAGGGUGAGAUGGCGCGGCGGGGGACACGCCGUCAUAGCCUCGGCGAAGUGCAUCAGGUCCACCGAGUUGAUGGAGUUGAGGCUGUGCGGGAGAAGACAAAGACAUCUUAGUAAAGGUGGAGGAGGCCGACCACAUCUACCUGCUGAUGGAGGUCUCCAGCAACGUGCGUCUGGCCUGGUUCCUGGGUAAACUCAACCAAGUCGUCUGGCCCGCCUCCAAGCCUGAGCUGACUCCUGGUCUACA
Long non-coding RNA from Entelurus aequoreus (snake pipefish), 432 nucleotides. RefSeq lists it as uncharacterized. The record is from RefSeq and is a predicted model, not a curated record. NCBI's taxonomy places the organism in Eukaryota, Metazoa, Chordata, Actinopteri, Syngnathiformes, Syngnathidae. The transcript has 4 exons.